AUUGAGCGCUGGCGGCAGGCCUAACACAUGCAAGUCGAACGGUAACAGAAAGCAGCUUGCUGCUUUGCUGACGAGUGGCGGACGGGUGAGUAAUGUCUGGGAAACUGCCUGAUGGAGGGGGAUAACUACUGGAAACGGUAGCUAAUACCGCAUAACGUCGCAAGACCAAAGAGGGGGACCUUCGGGCCUCCUGCCAUCGGAUGUGCCCAGAUGGGAUUAGCUAGUAGGUGGGGUAACGGCUCACCUAGGCGACGAUCCCUAGCUGGUCUGAGAGGAUGACCAGCCACACUGGAACUGAGACACGGUCCAGACUCCUACGGGAGGCAGCAGUGGGGAAUAUUGCACAAUGGGCGCAAGCCUGAUGCAGCCAUGCCGCGUGUAUGAAGAAGGCCUUCGGGUUGUAAAGUACUUUCAGCGGGGAGGAAGGGAGUAAAGUUAAUACCUUUGCUCAUUGACGUUACCCGCAGAAGAAGCACCGGCUAACUCCGUG
This 490-nucleotide ribosomal RNA is filed under the name uncultured bacterium. RNAcentral describes it as "partial 16S ribosomal RNA". It matches the Rfam family "Bacterial small subunit ribosomal RNA", at positions 30 to 507 of the family's 1533-position model. The record is from RNAcentral.